AAUGAACGCUGGCGGCGCGCCUAAUACAUGCAAGUCGAGCGAGAAGACGUAGCAAUACGUUUGUAAAGCGGCGAACGGGUGAGGAAUACAUGGGUAACCUACCCUCGAGUGGGGAAUAACUAGCCGAAAGGUUAGCUAAUACCGCGUACGCUCCUUGGACUUCGGUUCAGGGAGGAAAGCGAUACCGUGGGUAUCGCGCUCUUGGUUGGGCUCAUGUCCUAUCAGCUUGUUGGUGAGGUAACGGCUCGCCAAGGCUUCGACGGGUAGCUGGUCUGAGAGGACGAUCAGCCACACUGGCACUGCGACACGGGCCAGACUCCUACGGGAGGCAGCAGUAAGGAAUAUUGCGCAAUGGGCGAAAGCCUGACGCAGCGACGCCGCGUGGGGGAUGAAGGUCUUCGGAUUGUAAACCCCUUUCGGGAGGGAAGAUGGAACGAGCAAUCGUUCGGACGGUACCUCCAGAAGCAGCCACGGCUAACUUCGUGCCAG
This 489-nucleotide ribosomal RNA is filed under the name uncultured bacterium. Its description in RNAcentral is "bacterial SSU rRNA". It matches the Rfam family "Bacterial small subunit ribosomal RNA", at positions 29 to 511 of the family's 1533-position model. The record is from RNAcentral.